RNAcentral lists this ribosomal RNA (493 nucleotides) under uncultured bacterium. RNAcentral describes it as "partial 16S ribosomal RNA". It matches the Rfam family "Bacterial small subunit ribosomal RNA", at positions 30 to 523 of the family's 1533-position model. The record is from RNAcentral.
AUUGAACGCUGGCGGCAUGCUUUACACAUGCAAGUCGAACGGUAACAGGUUAAGCUGACGAGUGGCGAACGGGUGAGUAAUGCAUCGGAACGUGCCCGGUCGUGGCGGAUAACACUUAGAAAGAAGAGCUAAUCCCGCAUACGAUCUGAGGAUGAAAGCGGGGGACCGUACGGCCACGCGCGAUCGGAGCGGCCGAUGUCAGAUUUGGUCGUUGGAGGGGUAAAGACCUACCAAGCCGACGAUCUGUAGCUGGUCUGAGAGGACGACCAGCCACAAUGGGACUGAGACACGGCCCAUACUCCUACGGGAGGCAGCAGUGGGGAAUUUUGGACGAUGGGCGCAAGCGUGAUCCAGCAAUGCCGCGUGCAGGAAGAAGGCCUUCGGGUUGUAAACUGCUUUUGUACGGGGCGAAAAGGCUCUCUCUAAUACAGGGGGCUGAUGACGGUACCGUAAGAAUAAGCACCGGCUAACUACGUGCCAGCCGCCGCCGUAA